UCAUAGCCCAGAUUGAGCGGCGUGUGUGAGCUCUUUUCUUAGUUUCGGCGGCUGCGGAGCAGCCGCCGAAACUAAGAAAAAGCGAGUAGCGAAAGCUGGAAAAAGC
RNAcentral lists this unclassified non-coding RNA (106 nucleotides) under Chryseobacterium gambrini. RNAcentral's name for it is "Flavo-1 RNA". Lineage: Bacteria; Pseudomonadati; Bacteroidota; Flavobacteriia; Flavobacteriales; Weeksellaceae. The record is from RNAcentral.